Long non-coding RNA from Orcinus orca (killer whale), 430 nucleotides. RefSeq lists it as uncharacterized. NCBI's taxonomy places the organism in Eukaryota, Metazoa, Chordata, Mammalia, Artiodactyla, Delphinidae. The record is from RefSeq and is a predicted model, not a curated record. The transcript is spliced from 3 exons.
ACCUAAACCAGGGUUCCUCGGUUUCCCCUGGAAUCCCCUAAUGGCAGAAAGGCCAAGUUCAGAGACUCUGGAGAUUUUCCAGUUCUGUUUCUCUUAAAAUGGUCCUCGAAACAUGGAGGGAACAGGGAAUUCUCACAGCUCAACCAUGAGUAGUUGAAAGAGAGUGAGGACCCAGCUGCCACAUAGUGAGAAGCCCCAGCCCCAUGGAGAGGACACACACAGGGGCUCCAGUGGACAGCCCCAACUGAGCUCCCAGCCAGCAUCAACUGCCAGCCUCGUGAAUGAGCCAUGUUGGACUUUCAGCCCAAGUAAGGCUGCAGACAACUCCAAACCCAGCUACCAUCUGACUGCAGGAUGAGAUAGUGUAAGUGAUUACCACCCACUGAGCCUUGUUAACCUACAGAACUGUCAGAUAAAUUAAUAAAUUAUU